GUAGUUCUUGGUGUGUGUCGGCGACUUCGCUUGAGCUAAGGUGUCUUAGCGAGAAGUUGCCGCCUAAUCCAAGACUCGCUCUCUCUAAUUAUGGUCUUAGGGACCAUUGCAUUGCGUGAACGCCCGCUUGGGC
Non-coding RNA from Nitratiruptor tergarcus DSM 16512, 133 nucleotides. The record is from Rfam. NCBI's taxonomy places the organism in Bacteria, Pseudomonadati, Campylobacterota, Epsilonproteobacteria, Nautiliales, Nitratiruptoraceae.